AGAGGAACAAGCUUACUCUCUUCCUCAUUCUGAGAGUUGGAAGCAGCUGAUGUGAUUAGUAGCUGAGUGAUAAAGUCACUCUUAACUGGCCCUAGAACCAGGCCUGCAUGAACUAUGCUGGGAACUAGUAGAAAUAGAACAGCUUCAUCCCUUCCUUAUCUUUCUGCUGCCCUGCAAGAGAAAACCUGCUCCUCUGCAAGUGAUCCAUGUGUUGCAGAUACACAGACUUCAUGGUCCUCAGCAGGGGAAGAAGAAUUUUUGGCUUGAAAAACAUAGAACUCAUUAUCUGAGCACGUGGUGUAUCCAUAAAGUCUAGCUGCAGUGAGGGGACUUGUGUUCCGUGGGGCAGCCACUAGACAGUGAUAUAGCCACAUCUACACAACCAAAGCAUGUCAGCUUCACACCCUUGUAAUAGCCCCAGCCUUUCUCUAGCAUUUCCUUCACAGCCUAGCAGCUCAAAUUUUCUCUGAAUCCCAGUUGAAACUCAGCUUGCAUACAUCCCUUCUGAGCAAUCAUCAUUCAUUCUCAGCAGAGAGGAAGGCUUGAAUAAAAUCUUUUCUCUUAUACAAGCCAAAGAUAAGGAACCUUCUGGGGUAAAGGGAGCCAGGGAUAUGCCCUGCCUGUGAUUCUCAGCUUGUCCAAUGGAAAGAAAACCUCGCCUUCUGGGCUACCAAUCUUCAAACCACCAGUCUAGCAAUAAAAGUAGCUGAGGCAAAUAUAGCCAUUCUCCCUCUCGCAUACUUCCCUAAACUUCUGUAAUAGAACAAAACAAUAAAGCCUGCUUUAGGCUUUAUCAGUAUAAUUCUAUUCAGCACAUUCAGCCAUCAGUAACCUACCUCAAAUUUGGGCUUCAGCUUCCCAGGCAACUGGUUCAAGCCACUUCCAUGCACACCCGUUGCAUUAAGCAUACCUCUGGCAAGCACCAGCUCCAUCCUCUGAAAGCUUUGUCAGAACAAACAUCAGACUUUCCAGUUAUCCCAUCUGACUUUGCACCUUGUCAUCCAGCCUUUACACCUUCUUCCUCACCCUUUCUUCUUCUCCUGCCGCAUGCAUACCCUGGAUGAAAGACUCAGAUAAGCUGGAAGAGGCCAACUUACGGGAGCAGCAAGUCUGUCCUAGCACCAAUCCACCCUCCUACUCAGGGCCAGGUGAAUCAUGUGGCUGUCCAAGACCUUUUAGAGAGCUGCCUGACUGCUGCACUUGAGAGCUACGCGAGUUCGGUUUGGGACGUCACUUACAUCUUUGCCCAGAUUGUGGACAGAGUUGUCCCUCUGCAGAGUUACUGCAGGAAAAUGCUUUUGUGAAGAACACCCAGAGGAGACCAGCUUGUAUGCAAAGAGCAACCUUCAAUACUCUGCUUUAUAAGCUGACAGCUGCCCUGUUCACACCAACGCAUUACCUCGCCACUCCCCAUGCCUUUGUGAGACUCCAUGGCAUCUGCACAUUCCCUACUCUGGCUGCUCAAUAGGAAAGCAACUUGGUGCAGAGAAAGUCAUCCUCAUAGACAGUGUAAGAUGGGAGUGCAGUGCCAUCCGACAGAGCAGUUAUUCCUGACCAAGGAUCAUCAGAGGCAUCAUCAAAAGUAUCAGCAGCCUAACAUAACUUGUCCAACUGUACCCUAUAGGACAGUCCAUGAUAUCCUAUUUGCCUUAAUUCUGCACAGUAAGAUGUGUAAUAUACAUAAAAUCUCAGCAGGUCCAAGUGACUACAGAUGCCACUCCAAUCCAUGGUCUCCCCCAGGACUCCUUCCAAGGAUCUGCCCACCUCUCUUCCAGCCUGCUUUUGCCUCUGAGUUGCUAAUAUGCUGGGCAUCUGACAAUAUACAGUAGAAACCAUACCAGCCCUGCAAUCAAAGAAAACCCUUGCAAGAGGAAAGUAGCUGGUUUUGAGGGUCCUUCUGAAUUCUCUCCUUAUUCUGCGAGGCACCCCUUGCUCCUCCCUGAAGAAUCUCCCUACUGUUACCAAAGGCGUCUUUCCAUCACAGGGCACCUGCUGCAGCUUGACAGACUGGCUUGACAAUACAGCCUUUGAUCCCCUGCAAUCAACCCCUGAAGGAGAGACACAGUGUAGUAGAGGUGACCACACUAUGCUGGAAACCAGAGAAGUCUCUUGUCACCUCAGCUUCUCUCUCCUUUACCCUUAGGUCUGGUGUUCCAGCUUAGCACUUCCUGGCUUUUCUUUCUUUAACUGCUUGUGGUGUUUCCAGGAAAUAGUCAAAGGUGGUUUUGAUUUGUCAUUUAAAGGUAACAAACAGCUGCAUGUUCUCAGUAGUUCUGUGUAUUCCUUUUCUCACGUGUGGAUCUGAAGUAGUAGUGAUCCUCAGUAUUUGUUGGUUUCAUUCUUUCACAGGCAGUGUACCAGUGAGCUACUAAUGCUGUUUAGUAUUACAAUAAAUAGGGAAAGAAAUAAUAAAAAUAAUAUAUUUGGCUUUUACUUGUUAUUUUUAAUGCUGUACUUUAAGCAUAUGUUGCACAUGGCAAAGGCAGAAAGAAGCUGGGACAUAAGGACGAGCUCCCAAAUCAAGCUGCUACUGAAGCUGGCUUGGAUCCAGUCUCUACUAAAAACGGCCCUUAAUCUGCAACGAGAGUGAUAAAGUCAAAGCUGCAAUCAACUGUCAUUAGCAGAGGAUUCAAAAUAUUAGCAUUUCCCCAGUGCAAGGAAUUUAGUCUUUCUUUUCCCUCCCACCUAUUUCAAAAUAAAAUGAGGCCAUGUGCAACAAAAGGAAGGAUAGCAUAGGUUUAAAGUAAUUCUUCCUCUGGGAUGCUCUGUGGCCAACUGUUUACUCUGUUUCCAUGCCAAGUGAGAGAUGUGGGUUCAAAUCUGCUUAGAUACAGGAAGAGGUGAACUUUCUACAUCCUGGCUGAGCUCUCCAAACAUCAGCAUUUGAGGUUGCCCUGGCAAAGUGCAUUCUGGCAUGGUCUGAACGCCAUAGGUGAGACAGAGGAAGAAUGCCUAUUGUGUUGCCCAGGCUUAGAUGCAGGGAUGUAACUUUACUACCUCGACUUGUCUAGCUGCAGGGAGCAAUGAGUUGCCCAGCACGAGUACAGAAGGUCCACAUGGGCUUGAUAAUCCUGCCUCUCCACUGUCCCAUUUUUUAUCAGUGGAAACAGUUUUUGCUCUGUUGCUACUUACCAUGGUGAAAGAAGCAAUCACAAAGCGACAACAAUGAAGCGGUAACAAUGAAGCUACAAUUAAUAUCAAGAGAAAUAAAAAAUUAAAACCUUCUAUUACAUUGUUUCCUGUUUGAUACAGCCACCGAGCCACACAAAACCUAUGGUAUAAAUUGCAUGGUUGGCUAAGUGGGGAUAGCACAGCAAUAGCUGAUUUACAGACUUUGUGGAAGAAGUUUGGGAAGGUACCACAAUCUGACAUCCGACCUGGAUCAUUUCCCAUUUUAAAGUUUCUGCACAACCAGAGAGCAACCUUGAAAAAGUUUAUUUUUGCUGUCAUGCCACGUUGUUGUCCUAAAAACCCUGGCUCCAUAUAUUUGGUGUACCAAGAAAUAUCUACUCUUUCUCCAAACAAGAGUUUAUUUUGACUUCGGAUUCGAAACAUUAACACUUCUGACAGCUGCAGGAAAGUGUUUGGUUUGCUUGGGUCCCUAAAUGAAUGUUUAGUUUAACCUUAAUAGGGAAUUCUCUGAAUUUGUAGACCUUUUAUCUGGAACCAUCUCCAAUUAAGCAUGAUGAAGAAUUAACGAAGCUAUUCACUCAC
Long non-coding RNA from Pezoporus occidentalis (night parrot), 3714 nucleotides. RefSeq lists it as uncharacterized. The transcript has 3 exons. Lineage: Eukaryota; Metazoa; Chordata; Aves; Psittaciformes; Psittacidae. The record is from RefSeq and is a predicted model, not a curated record.